RNAcentral lists this ribosomal RNA (429 nucleotides) under uncultured bacterium. RNAcentral describes it as "bacterial SSU rRNA". It matches the Rfam family "Bacterial small subunit ribosomal RNA", at positions 355 to 775 of the family's 1533-position model. The record is from RNAcentral. RNAcentral also lists the same sequence under 1 other name.
UGGGGAAUUUUGCGCAAUGGGGGAAACCCUGACGCAGCAACGCCGCGUGAGUGAUGAAGGCUUUCGGGUCGUAAAGCUCUGUCUAGAGGGAAGAAAUGAUAUUCGGUUAAUACCCGGAUUUCUUGACGGUACCUCUGAAGGAAGCACCGGCUAACUCCGUGCCAGCAGCCGCGGUAAUACGGAGGGUGCAAGCGUUGUUCGGAUUUAUUGGGCGUAAAGCGCGUGUAGGCGGUUUGUUAAGUCUGAUGUGAAAGCCCCGGGCUCAACCUGGGAAGUGCAUUGGAAACUGGCAGACUUGAAUACGGGAGAGGGUAGUGGAAUUCCUAGUGUAGGAGUGAAAUCCGUAGAUAUUGGGAGGAACACCGGUGGCGAAGGCGGCUACCUGGACCGAUAUUGACGCUGAGACGCGAAAGCGUGGGGAGCAAACAG